This 2386-nucleotide long non-coding RNA is filed under the name Homo sapiens (human). RNAcentral describes it as "HSALNT0140028". Lineage: Eukaryota; Metazoa; Chordata; Mammalia; Primates; Hominidae. The record is from RNAcentral.
UUUUAGAAUAAGGGGGUUAAGUACAUGUGCAGGUUUAUAACCAAAGUACCUUGUGUGAUGCUGAAGUUGGUAGUGCAAAUGAAACUGCCACCCAUGUAGCCGGCAUAGGUACCCAAUAGGUAGUUUUUUUCAAUUCUUAUCCCCUUCCUUUCCAGUCCCCUCCUUAUAUUCUCCAGUGGCUAUUAUUCCCAUUUUUAUGCCCAUGAGUACCCAAUGUUUAACUUUCACUUAUAAGUGAGAACAUGGGGUAUUCACUUUUCUGUUUCCGUGUUAGUUUACUUAGGAUAAUAGUUUCCAGCUGCAUUUAUGUUGCCACAAAGGACAUGAUUUUUUUCCCUUUUAUGGCUACAUAGUGUUCUACAGUGUAUAUGUACCAUAUUUUCUUUAUCCACUACUACUGAUGGGAAACUGGGUUAAUUUCAUGUCAACCCAUGUAAUAUUCUAUUGUGAAUAAUGCUGUGAUGAAAAUACGGGUGCACGUGUCUUUUUGGUAGAAUAAUUUAUUUUCCAUUGGCUAUAUACCCAGUAGUGAGAUUGCUAGGUUGAAGAGUAGUUCAACUCUCAGUUCCUUGAGGAAUCUCCUAACUGCUUUUCACAGUGACUGAACUAAUUUACGUUCCCACCAACAGUGUAGCCUUGCUGACACAAAAACCCUUCUGUCUGGUGUGAAGUGGUUUCUCAUUGUGGCUUUGAUUUGCAUUUCUCUGAUGAUUAGUGAUGGUGAACAUUUUCACGUAUGUUUGUUGUCUCAAAGCCCCAAUGCUUUAAUCACAUGGUUGGUAUUUCUGUGUGAUCGGCCCCUAUCCUGAGUCAUCUCAUUAGCUUUAAAUAUCUAGGGGCCUACCGUAAGCCACCUUGUUAGUAUAAACUAUCAGAACCUACCAAGAAUAACAAAUAUGCUCCUCUCACUUGAACAAUCCCAAGGAUUGAGAGGCCACCUCUCAGAAACAGUGGACAAAGAUCAGCCAGACUCUCCAUUACACUGCAGUGCUUUUCAUGUAUUAUCUAAUAUAAUUCCUAUGAUUCAUAUGUUCACCUGCAGAGUUGGGUGGUGUUACUCCAGAGCUUAGGAAUACAAGUUCAGGGAACUUAAAUAAAUUUUCCAAGGUCAUGCAGCUAAUGAGUGGCAAUGCCAGAUUUGAAACCAUGUCUUUCUUUUUAUAUUUCCUUUCUAAAAUUUUCUAAUAUACAACCUAAUUAUGCCUCAAGUUCAAUUUUAUUAGAAAAAUUAAUAAUAAUUUUUCAUCUCCCAUAGUACAGUUACCUGGUCAUGGUUUCAGCAGAAGAAUGAAUAUUUAUAUGAAAGAUAUUUAGCAUGCUCAGUAAUUAUCUUCAAAGUCAGGAGAGACAAUGAAAUGUUAAGGACAAAAAUGGACUUGAGUUCUAAUUCCUGCCAAUUCCUAACUAGCCACUAAAUCUGUCACUUUAGUUAAAGUAUUUAUGAUCUCUGAUAAUCAGUUUCUAUCUACAAAUGCUCACCUAUAUUCCAGGAUUUUCAUAAAAUUCAAAGAACAGUUGUGAAAGUAGUGGCCUAUUCCCAAAUUCCCUUAUUUUCCUCUAUUUAUCCAUAACACUUAGUAAUAUUUCAAAUGAUUUAAAUAUAUAAUUUCAAUAGUUAAACAGAUUGUAAAAUUUCAAUCACAAAGAAUUAGUUUUUCAAUGAUAUAACCCAAAUUUCCAGAUUAGGUUCUGGUAAGUAGUAGACAUUCAAGUUUUGAAGCAUAUGGUACGUGGCAUGAACUGUGAAUAGAGCAAACUUUAACUUCCUCAAACCAAUUAUCCCACUGAGGAAACCAGGAAAAACUGUAGAAAAUAUUUUUAAAAUAUGUGUAUGGUAAUAGAGACGAUAAGAAAAUAUUACAAAGUUACUGGACCAAGAACCAAAGAAGAAGGAGGUCUGGAAAAAAAAAGCAGAAUUUCAGCUUCUUUAUGUCAAGGGCAUUUGCUGAUUAUAGAAGAUUGUUCUUAACAGAUUUGCUGUGCUAGUGAAACAAAAAUUGGGGUCCAAGGAUCCCCCAUUAGAGAGCAGGUCAGGAAAGCUGGUGGAUCUAUCUAGGUUUGGACUGGAUCCCCCAGGUGCUUUACCCUUAAAGUACAGAUAAACUAAAAGUACACAGGUCCUUGUAGAAAUCGGCAGUUUUGCUUGAAUUGUGUCAAUUCUGGAAAUUGUUUAGGUUGAUCCAUGAUUGCUAGUGUCUCCAAGGCACCCUCAACGAAUCCCGAAAAUGUCUGGAGUCAUCUCAGAAGGGAGUAGGCGCUUUGCAUGACCCAAAAUAAAAAGGAAAAAUGGCAAGAUGGCCGAAUAGGAACAGCUCCGGUCUACAGCUCCCAGCGUGAGCAACGCAGAAGACGGGUGAUUUCUCCAUUUCCAUCAGAGGUACCGGGU